CCUACGGGUGGCAGCAGUGGGGAAUAUUGCACAAUGGGCGAAAGCCUGAUGCAGCAACGCCGCGUGAAGGAAGAAGGGUUUCGGCUCGUUAACUUUUAUCAACAGGGACGCAAGAAAUGACGGUACCUGAAUAAGAAGCCCCGGCUAACUACGUGCCCGCAGCCGCGGUAAUACGUAGGGGGCAAGCGUUAUCCGGAAUUACUGGGUGUAAAGGUUGAGUAGGCGGGAUGGUAAGCCAGAUGGGAAAGCCUUGGGCUUAACCCGAGGAUUGCAUUUGAAAUUAGCAAGCUAGAGUACAGGAGAGGAAAGCGGAAUUCGUGGUGUAGCGGUGAAAUGCGUAGAUAUUAGGAAGAACACCAGUGGCGAAGGCGGCUUUCUGGACUGAAACUGACGCUGAGGCACGAAAGCGUGGGGAGCGAACAGGAUUAGAUACCCUAGUAGUC
RNAcentral lists this ribosomal RNA (443 nucleotides) under uncultured bacterium. RNAcentral describes it as "partial 16S ribosomal RNA". It matches the Rfam family "Bacterial small subunit ribosomal RNA", at positions 338 to 795 of the family's 1533-position model. The record is from RNAcentral.